CCUACGGGUGGCAGCAGUGGGGAAUAUUGCACAAUGGGGGAAACCCUGAUGCAGCGACGCCGCGUGAGUGAAGAAGUAUUUCGGUAUGUAAAGCUCUAUCAGCAGGGAAGAAAUAGCGACCUUUGGGUCGCCAGACGGUACCUGACUAAGAAGCCCCGACUAACUACGUGCCAGCAGCCGCGGUAAUACGUAGGGGGCAAGCGUUAUCCGGAUUUACUGGGUGUAAAGGGAGCGUAGACGGCAGCACAAGUCUGAAGUGAAAUGCCGGGGCUUAACCCCGGAACUGCUUUGGAAACUGUGCAGCUAGAGUGCAGGAGAGGUAAGUGGAAUUCCUAGUGUAGCGGUGAAAUGCGUAGAUAUUAGGAGGAACACCAGUGGCGAAGGCAGCAUACCGGCGCGCAACUGACGCUCAUGCACGAAAGCGUGGGUAUCGAACAGGAUUAGAUACCCGUGUAGUC
This 458-nucleotide ribosomal RNA is filed under the name uncultured bacterium. RNAcentral's name for it is "partial 16S ribosomal RNA". It matches the Rfam family "Bacterial small subunit ribosomal RNA", at positions 338 to 795 of the family's 1533-position model. The record is from RNAcentral.